UGGAAUGAGGGAUUUGGAUGAAACCAACCAGCAGGCGUUAUCAAAUUGAUGCAAAUACUGCUGAAAUAAGUAUGUUAAAUAAGUAAAUAUCAUUUGUAAUUGUCAGCCAAUCCUAAACAUGAGUUGUUCUUAUUAGCUGUCAAUCACAAUAUGUGAUUUGAUAUGUCUAGUAGAAAGAGGAAAAGAUUUAAACUGAAAUAAAGUCAACCUUAUACACUUUGAAGAAACCAAAUGCUAGAUAUGUUAAAAAUGUUUCUUAAAUUUAGCAACAAAUUAGAGUAAGUCUAGACAAUGUCUCUCUUAUGCACUGUUUAGGGAAAUCUGCAUUUGUGUGAUCUAUGCUUAUGUUCUUCCUGCCACAAUGAUUACAUUAUUAAUUCAUCUAGAACAGAGUCAGAGUCCAGAUCAUUUUAUUUAUUGUCUUAGAUUUGUGGUUUUAUAUUUUGAUGCUCUAUAUUUGAGACAUUUCUUACAAUAAUUCUAGAAUUCCAAUAUUUGGAUAUUCUUCAGAAUUAAGGAUCUACUUAUCAUCUUAAAAUUAAAAGACUAUCUACAUCAGAUAAUAAUUUGUCCAAAAAGGUAAUUAUUGUGACAGGUGUACCUCUUACUCAGAUAUAUUAUACUAAAGCAAUAUUCAUAGUAUGUGGACCAGAGAUAGUCUCUGAUUUACCUUUCUCUGUCUGAGCUCUGCAUGCCUUCAUUUCUUUCUCUCUCUGAACUCUUCCUCCUCCAUCUCCUCUCUGGGAUGUUCUUCCUCCUCUCUUCUUUUAGGCUGGGAAAAGCUGCUGCUGGUUCCCCUCCUCUUCAUUCUUUACCGUCUCCUACAAGAAUCACACUGACUGAACUAUGUUUUUCCUUUGAUAAUUUUCAUUAUUAACUAUGAUACAAUCUGAUGUGUACAAUUUAAACCUUUAAAGAGAUACUUAACAUGUAAACGUUUUUUCAGCUGUAAACUAAAUGAUAUGACUGUACUAUGAUGAAACACAUCAAUGUUGGUGUUAUUAUGACCUUGACACCAAAAUGAUAAAAACCAGCAUUAAAUAAGCAGGAUGUAGUUUUAAACAGUGCAUGAAAACCUGGUGUGACUGGGGGUUUAGUUACACUUUAAUGUCAUGUAAAGUCUUAGUGAAUGUGUGAUUUAUUUUGACUUACAGUCUGUUGUCAGAACCACAGGCUGUAAUUAUCCAAAAAAAAAAAAUAGAAAAACUUCCACAGACGAUCCCCCACCAUCCUUCUGUGGCUGUUCUCUAACAUUAGCUAGCUACAGAAGUAAAAAUUAGCAAGGCCCAGGCUCACUGGAAACUGUGGCUUGUCUCGCAAGCAAACACUUUAUGUGAAUUUAGACACUAUUAGCAUUUAAUACAUUGUGAACAGUUAUAUUAGCAUGUAGUCUAACCCAGUCUAACUAGUGUCUUACUGCCACACCGAAGUCCAGCUGUCAUCCACAUGAGUGAGGUCUAAGAGCAGCCCCCUCAGGGGGGCGUGUCACCUCUGUAGCAGCGUAGACUGUACAGGACGUGACGUCACAUGGUGCAUUCGAAAGCACUCGGACAUCGGAGUUUCACUCGUUAUUCGUCUUUCCUGGACUUUCACUCUUUACGGCUGGCCACAAACUUUCAUAUACGUAUUUUUGAAUUAGAUCGUUCAGAACUGGGGAGGCAGCCGGGGUGGCAAGACAUCUUCUAGGGGUGGCAGUUGCCACCCUAUGCCACCCCAGUAGAUCCGCCCCUGUGCACUUGAGAUUUUCAAAGCGUGAUUUGCAUAAAGAGCAGCUGGAAACCGGAGGAGUUUAGUUUGUGUCCUUCAGAAGCCAAAAGGAGAAAACGUCUGAACUCUGAGCUUUAUUUGUAGAUGUGAGGAAACAGUUUGUGUUUUCCUGCUGUCGCCUGCAGCUCCGACGAGUGGAGGAUUAAAAGUGACUGUUAAUCACGUCGUUCGACAGGAAUCGAAGCGUCGCUGAUUGGAGGGAAUAAAAGCAGCGGCAGCAGCCUGAGGAGUGCUGCUGACUGAAUGAGAGCAGCGUGAUGGACACUCUGCAGCUUCGGAUUAAACCGUCUGCAGCGUUCAGGGAACAGAAGGGUGGUAAAAAUAAAUAAAUGAAGGAAAGCAGGCGGAAGAAACCUGCAUCCAGCCGAGCUUAGAGCAGGAAGACGUCGUCUGUUUUAUGUCGCAGGUGUGUUGACCACGGUGGGCCAACAGAGCAGAGCACAGGGUUCCUGGAGAAUUUAGAUCUUUUCACUGUGUUUGGGCUCCGUCGAUGGAAAACAGGUAGUAAUUAAAGUCCUGCAACGACUUCAAUAUAUAAUAAAUCGACUUCAAUAUAUAAUAAAUCUGUUAAUGAUGAAGGUGUUAUAGGCCAAGAAUCUCCAGCCAUGAUGGUCUGUAGGUGUUCAGGAACCUUGUUGUGAAGUUUCACUACAUAAUGUUUCCAUUGAUUUUCAUAACUUUUUAAUUCUGGUGAUGUUGUGUUGGUGUCAGAUUGGGACUUGGUAUCAGCAGGUAGUAAACAUCGGAUGGUUCAGAUCAGAUCAGGUCAAUAAAACUUGAUCAAAACAUUCCUAACUCCCACCCUCUCAGAUCUGUGAGGAGUUAAACUGCUCUCCAGACAGCGCUGAAGGGAGGCUGUUGGAUGUGAUUGAGAUGGACAGAACAAACUUCAACUACCUCCUCCAAUGAGGACGUUUCAUCACGACAACACGCUGCUAAACUUCCACAUCUCCCAACGAGGUUUGGCAUGUCUGGGUGGCUCUCCGACGGAGCAACGUUAUCAGGAAACAGCAGCAUGUCAGUGUCAGGACCACUUUCACAGCCCCAUUACACCCCAGCUGUCGGACAGAAUUAUCUCUACGCUGGAUGUGUUAGGGGGCGUGGACGAACCGUCAAACUGUCCACGGCGCCUUUAGUUAGAUUAAGAUAACUUCAGCAUCCGUCCCACAGCUGAAACGGUUUAUAGAUAACGAUGACAGUCCACAGUUCUGUUCGUUAAUUUCACUUUAAGACAAGCCGACUGUCACAAGACGUUUUUACAGAAGCUUUAGUCUGACGGCUGAAAGUGUUUCAAUGUUUUGGUGACGUUCAGAGACGAAACAAAGAGUCUGGAGACGGCAUUCUGAAACAAGAGUCCAACUAUCACCAGUCAGAGGAAAAGCAGCAAAAGGAAACUUUAAUAGAAGUAGUAAGAGAUUCAUGGUUAAUUCAAAUGUGUCAGAGACACUAUGACCACAAAGUGAUCACAAAGAAACACAAAAUGAUUUGUAGAGACAGAAAGUGACCAUAAAAUGACUACAAAGAGACACAAACAGCCACAAAAUGACCACUAAGCAUAUGAAACAGCCAGAAAAUGACUAUGAAGAGACAAAAAAAAUGACAUAAAAAGCCACGAAGUUACACAAAAGAGUCACAAAAUGAC
Long non-coding RNA from Amphiprion ocellaris (clown anemonefish), 3409 nucleotides. RefSeq lists it as uncharacterized. The transcript has 2 exons. NCBI's taxonomy places the organism in Eukaryota, Metazoa, Chordata, Actinopteri, Pomacentridae. The record is from RefSeq and is a predicted model, not a curated record.